CCUACGGGGGGCUGCAGUGGGGAAUAUUGGACAAUGGGGGGAACCCUGAUCCAGCCAUGCCGCGUGUGUGAAGAAGGCCCUCGGGUUGUAAAGCACUUUCAGUGAGGAAGAACGCCUGGUGGUUAAUACCCAUCAGGAAUGACAUCACUCACAGAAGAAGCACCGGCUAACUCCGUGCCAGCAGCCGCGGUAAUACGGAGGGUGCGAGCGUUAAUCGGAAUUACUGGGCGUAAAGCGCGCGUAGGUGGCUUGAUAAGCCGGUUGUGAAAGCCCCGGGCUCAACCUGGGAACGGCAUCCGGAACUGUCAAGCUAGAGGGCAGGAGAGGAAGGUAGAAUUCCCGGUGUAGCGGUGAAAUGCGUAGAGAUCGGGAGGAAUACCAGUGGCGAAGGCGGCCUUCUGGACUGACACUGACACUGAGGUGCGAAAGCGUGGGUAGCAAACAGGAUUAGAUACCCCAGUAGUC
Molecule: ribosomal RNA, 465 nt
Filed under: Vreelandella stevensii
Lineage: Bacteria; Pseudomonadati; Pseudomonadota; Gammaproteobacteria; Oceanospirillales; Halomonadaceae
Description: partial 16S ribosomal RNA
Rfam family: Bacterial small subunit ribosomal RNA
Source: RNAcentral